This is a long non-coding RNA of Amphiprion ocellaris (clown anemonefish), 3435 nucleotides long. RefSeq lists it as uncharacterized. The record is from RefSeq and is a predicted model, not a curated record. The transcript has 3 exons. Lineage: Eukaryota; Metazoa; Chordata; Actinopteri; Pomacentridae.
AAGUGAAAAUGGGAAGAAAUAUCAAAAUAAUUCAGAGUUUCUGAGCUACUGCUUCACAAACAUUUGAUCUGAUGUAAACAAAAACAAACAGCUUAGGAAAAUUACAUAUGAAUAUAUGAAUGUAUAAAUAUGUGAACAUAAACAUGCAAACAUAUUUAACACAUGAAUUUAUUCAACAUAUAUACCUGUAAACGUGUUACCUGCCAGCAGAAACAGUAGGAAGCAGAAAGUCUUCAUGUCUGUUUUGUUGUGAUGGUCCAGAUGCUGAUUAACUGAUAGACUGACUGACUGCAGCUAUUUAAGUCUCUUUCUAACUUCCUCUUUUGCUACCCAACAGCUAUUUUCUAACUUCCUGCUCAUCGACUCUUCAUUUCUGCUGCUGUGUUGCUGAUUUUCAUCAGAAGUGACGCAGACGAGUUGCUUCUGAGGAAUAACAGUGAACAUCUGCAGCUUCCAUCACAGCUUCAUGUUGAAACGUCACAGCUCAUCACAUCAAAUCUGCAGAAUAAUCAGAUUUAUUCAUUAAAAUUUGACAACGCUGGUGUCAGCAGUUCUUUAAACAUUAUAGAUACUGAAGAAUCAAUAAGCUCCAAUAUUAAAUGUUCUGUUGUUGGUUUUUUAUAAGUUAGAAGAACUUUUUGUUGCACGUUGAUCUAUGAAGCAUUUUCAUUUUCCCAAACUAUGUGAAGAAUUAACUGAUUGACUUGAAACCGUAAUUUGAAACCACACAUUGAUCAGAUCAAGCUAACAAAUACUGAGACUGACACUGUUUUUGGUCCGUACGGAUCUGGUAAUUGGAUUUUCCGUUCUGAAGCGGGUAUUGAAAAACAAAAAACGAGUGGUUAUUUGAUUUUCGUUUUAAAAUAGAAAAAUUAAAAUUGAAAUACAAGGCGUUUUUCCUUUUCAUGAUCAAAAAGGGAUAUACGAAAUUUUAAAAAUGCUUUGAUUUUCAUUUUAUAUUUACAAUAACAAAAAAAAGAAAAUCAGCAAGAGACAGAAACAAAAAAAGGUCCGUUUUUUUUUAUUUUCUGGGACCGGAAAUGGUCAUCAGCAAGUGUGGAGCCAAACGACAACAAGAUUCUCAGAGGGCGGAGCCAGAGAGCAGUGAUUGGUCAGACCAAAGAUAGAAGACAGCACGCUAGCGUAUCUAGUCUGUGUUUAUCUAUGGUCGGCACGUCUGGUAGCAUCUCUGGCUGCUGUUGACCUUGUUUUUGGAGUAAAACACGGUGGAAGCUGAAUUAGUGAGGAUGACUCCUGCUCCUGUCAUCUCUAAGCUCCUCACACAUCUUUACCUGCACAUGAGGAAAAUCACUCCUGUAGAAUGCAGAUGUUCAGAGGGAGAUGAUGCCACAUCUGGUCCAGCUGAUGGAAGGUCUUGAAGUUCUCUGACUGGCCUCGACUGAAGAUGGUCGUCUCACUGGAUUUAAGGUUCAGAUGCUCAGUAACAAACUCCACCAAUGAGCCAACAAGGAAGCUUUAGGUUUAUUAAAUGUUGCUAUGAAGGUUUCGCUGUUUUUCUUUGUGAAUGCAAUGUGCUCCAACUGAAACUUGAAUUAGAACUUAGAAGUAAAUCCUUCCAUCUGAAAGGAUUUAGUUGCAUUAAUAACCUCAUAACAUUAUAAUUUUUCUUCCAGUCUUGGUUGGAAAUAGAAUCUCUGUAUUGAUUCAGUUAAAAACUGAACUUCACAGCAUGUUGAAGCAAAACAACCAGAUGAAAACUGUGAUGGUGUUGGAUUGUCAGACCGUAAUGUUGCAGCUCAAAGCAGCUUUUCUAUCUCAGUUCAUUCUGACAUUCAGCUAUGAAUCAACACAGCAGAUGGUGAUCCAUGCUGUGAAAGUCUCACAUCUCCUGAUUUAAUGGAGCUGCUUUGCACUUUUUACACUGUUUAUUCACCAACACUUUAUUUAAUAAAAGUCCCAUCUAGUUUUUAUGAGGAAUGUGAUGUUUUAAUUUCUCUGUGAAUAACUGCAGUCUAAUGCAACAGCUGGAGUUGUAACAUCUGUCCUGAUAUUGAUCAUGAAGUAUUGAUCAGAGUACUUAUGGUCAGCAGUCAUCCCUGAAGUUUUAUAUUAAAAUCUUUACUUGUGUUGUGAACUUUGGUAAGAAGCAGAAACGUUAGCGUUGCCAUGGAUACAUGAGUGUUAAAUUCUGUCCAUGUUUCCAUUUUGGGAAAUUCAGUCCAGUUCCAGAAUGUGGAGGAAUUUAGUCUCACAAUCACAGACAACAAAUAUUAUCUGAAAGUCGGGUUAUUGUUGUUUAUCAGCACAAUACAAAAAGAUUAAUGUUAGAAAUAUUCCAGUUCAGACUCUAGAAUAUCAUGAUUUAUGUAAAUUUACCUCAAUAAUAUGAAUGUUCAGGUUAAGAUUGUACAGUGAUAUUUAUUAUGUAAGUUUAGCUGAUUAAAGUUUAUAACUCUGCACUGAAGUAUUAUUUAAAUUGACAUCAUUAUUAUGAUAUUUAGGGUCAGACCCUACAGUAUUGAGAUUAAGAAAUCAAAUAUUCUAUGAAAUGUAAAUACACUGAACUCAUUUGGAUAUAUUUAAGUGAGACUCUACAAUAUUAUUUGACACAAAUCUAUCUAAAUCAAAAUUUUAAUAAUUUUCACACCAAACAUUUACUGAUUUAAACAUUAAAAUCACUCCUUUCUAAUCCUCUGCUAUACUUUCAAACCUGAGGCCUUAAAUAGAAACACACAAGGAUCUGAUUGAAGGAACUUCUGCAGAGUCCUGGUUCCAGAACAUGAUGAUAGAAUUAUAGACAAACUUUAACAAAAGCUGCCUGAGAGUUUACAGGUUUUUAUUUAUGGAUUUCUUCAGUAAUUUAAUGAGUGUUAUCAGCAAUAAUCAAGUGUUCAUUUGAUGAACUUCAUUUCCUAAAACAUACAGAAUUGGAGCUCAUAUCUUUGGCAGCUGUAAAGUUUCUGCUCCUUCAAAGUUCACAACACAAUGAAUGAAUUCCUAAAACACUCUCAGUGUUGGAGAGCGUUUGUGAUGCUGAAGCAGUGAUCAGUUUUUCUGUUUCUUCUCUGGAGAUGCACAAUGAGGGACGUCUGCAGAGACUGAGAAAGAGUCUCACCACAUCCUGACAUGAGGAAAAAGACUUUAUUGAAGACUACAAUGAGAAAAACUAUCAGACAGCAGACGGCUGCAUUCAAGGUGAGCUCUGAACAUUUGAUCUGGAACAGGAAUUCAAUAACUGCAGCAUGAGCUUCAUUUCAGUCUGUAGCUGCUGAAUUCAUGGAUGAACCAUCUGGCACUAGAGAGGAAGACCAUCAAACAUCCACAUCAGCUGAUGGAGGUCCAAGAGUCUCACCAAACAAACAACCUACAGAGUGAAGACCUCAAAUCUGAUUGGAUGGCCUCCUAUUCAGCCACGUGUGAACAAAUGCCUCUAAGUUGAUUUGUUUUCUAAAAUAAAUCUAGUUUGAGUCCUAA